Urocitellus parryii (Arctic ground squirrel) is the source of this 483-nucleotide non-coding RNA. Lineage: Eukaryota; Metazoa; Chordata; Mammalia; Rodentia; Sciuridae. The record is from RefSeq and is a predicted model, not a curated record.
GGCCUCGUGCGUGCGCACGCGCGCCGUCCCCCGGAGGCGUCUGGGUGUGCGGAGCGCGCGCGCGCGGCUCGGAGGCGCACCUGUGAGGUGUCCCCGGAGGAACGGCGGGUGGGCGCGCGGAGCCCGCGGCCUGGGGCGCUCGCAGCCCGCACUUGGACGCGCAGGCCGCGGAGCAUCGCGCUCAGGUGAUGAAGAGCGCGUCGCGCACCCGGCGCAGGAGCCAGCCGCCGCCGGACGCCUCCAUUGUUUGACCACGCCAGGCCGGCCCUGCCCAGCAGGAUCCUCAGGCUGGAGGAAGUCACCUGCUCUUGCACCCUGCAGCCACUGUGGGCCCUGCCUCUGCCUCCUCUUCUGGAAUGUCUUGAGGGUUCUGAUUCCUGUCACUGUGUAUUUCCCUUGGUGCUAUGCAGAUAGUUACAGUGAGCAGUUGUAACGGAUGAUGAACUUGAUUUAGAACGGAGCAUGAUAUCUACAAAUUCUCUU